RNAcentral lists this long non-coding RNA (1092 nucleotides) under Homo sapiens (human). Its description in RNAcentral is "HSALNT0122096". The record is from RNAcentral. Lineage: Eukaryota; Metazoa; Chordata; Mammalia; Primates; Hominidae.
AGGGGGCAGAGGGGCUCAAGGAGGCUGAGGGCUGAGGGGGUUGAGGGGGCUGAAGGGGCUGAGGGCUGAGGGGCUGAGGGGUUGAGGAGGCUGAGGGGCUGAAGGAGGCUGAGAGAUGAGAGGCUGAGAGCUGAGGGGCUGAGGGGGCUGAGAGGGCUGAGGGGCUGAGGGGGCUGAGAGGGCUGAGAGGGCUGAGAGGCUGAGGGCUGAGGGGGCUGAGGGCUGAGGGGUUGAGGGAGCUGAGGGCUGAGGAGCUGAGGGGUUGAAGGCUGAGGGGCUGAGGGCUGAGGGGUUGAAGGGGCUGACGGGCUAAGGGGCUGAAGGGGCUGAGGGAGCUGAGGGCUGAGGAGCUGAGGGGUUGAAGGCUGAGGGGCUGAGGGCUGAGGGGUCUGAGGGCUGAGGGGUUGAAGGGGCUGAGGGGCUGAGAGGCUGAAGGGGCUGAGGGGCUGAAGGAGGCUGAGGCUGGGGUAGGCCUGGAGAUGGGGUGGUCAGCCUGGGGGCUGCAGGGGUCUCCCAAGGCCUCCCUGUGGGUCUUUCGAGGGCACAGGCCCUGCUCCCGGAGGCUGGGAGUUCUGGCCGCAGGGCCUGUCCUUCAGUUACUAGGCUCCAGAGGUCGGUCCCAGCGCCUCAGACACCCACAUCCAGCAGGGACAGGGACAGCUCGCGGCUGGGAUAGCGUCAGCCCUGGGCCACGGCGGCUUGGCACCACAUCCCGUGACAGCUCUGUCUCCAGGCGUGCUCCCCAGCCCUGCCUGAAGAUGAACCCCAAGCCCUCGCCAGUGGCCAGGUAGGAACAAGGCCAGGAGCCCUGUGGAGAGGAGCAGGGGACCACUGCGUGGACGGGGCAGGCUGGGGCACAAAGGGCACUGCUUCCUCUGGAUAGCGCUAACUCCGAGAGCUCGGGCUCCUAUCCCUAGCCGGGGCGCCUGGCCUCCUGCAGUCGGGUCCCCAGCGGGUGAGCCGGGCGCAGGUGGACCUGACCGAGGAGGCGGCCGGAGCCCCUGCGGGUGAGGCGGGAGCGGCGAGCAGGAGGGCUGACUCAGAAGGUUUAUUUGCAGCGCUGGCGGGGCGGACAAUUGGCGGCCUCGGGGU